UAGGGAAUCUUCGGCAAUGGACGAAAGUCUGACCGAGCAACGCCGCGUGAGUGAAGAAGGUUUUCGGAUCGUAAAACUCUGUUGUUAGAGAAGAACAAGGACGUUAGUAACUGAACGUCCCCUGACGGUAUCUAACCAGAAAGCCACGGCUAACUACGUGCCAGCAGCCGCGGUAAUACGUAGGUGGCAAGCGUUGUCCGGAUUUAUUGGGCGUAAAGCGAGCGCAGGCGGUUUCUUAAGUCUGAUGUGAAAGCCCCCGGCUCAACCGGGGAGGGUCAUUGGAAACUGGGAGACUUGAGUGCAGAAGCGGAGAGUGGAAUUCCAUGUGUAGCGGUGAACUGCGUAGAUAUAUGGAGGAACACCAGUGGCGAAGGCGGCUCUCUGGUCUGUAACUGACGCUGAGGCUCGAAAGCGUGGGGAGCAAACAGG
RNAcentral lists this ribosomal RNA (429 nucleotides) under Gemmatimonadota bacterium. RNAcentral's name for it is "Gemmatimonadetes bacterium partial 16S ribosomal RNA". It matches the Rfam family "Bacterial small subunit ribosomal RNA", at positions 355 to 776 of the family's 1533-position model. Lineage: Bacteria; Pseudomonadati; Gemmatimonadota. The record is from RNAcentral.